Molecule: long non-coding RNA, 1056 nt
Organism: Aedes aegypti (yellow fever mosquito)
Lineage: Eukaryota; Metazoa; Arthropoda; Insecta; Diptera; Culicidae
Exons: 3
Source: RefSeq, a predicted model, not a curated record
GUUAGAAACAUACUUGCAAUAUUAGCCAGUUACAUUUUGUGUGCAAACUGUAUUGAGAGUGAAGAUUAUGCUGCGAGGGACAAUUUGCUUGAAAGCAAAGAUUAGUCGAUAAAUUGACUUGCGAAUAUACAGCAUACCAGCUGUCAAAAACUGCUUCCGCAUUGGAAUGCAGUCACUCCAUCGGACCAUCAGCGAGGAUAAAAAAGAAGCCUUCGUGUCGACUGGUCGUGGAAAAGGCUACCGCGUACCGAUUAGAAAAGUUCGCGAAACAGAAACGCCCGCUUAAAAUACGGUUGGCAAAGAGUGUGACCGUGGGAGACAUCGGUCGGUGAUUAAAAUAAACCGUCGGAAUCGAAGUAAAAAUUAGCCACCACUCGGAAACUCAUCCACACGAGGGACCAUCCUCGGUGUCCCGGAAAAAACCAGCCACGAGUGAUUAACUGGUCCGCACAGCCUUCGCCGAAGGGAGCCGGCAUUUCUUUGGAGAGCCAUUCAGCUUAGGAAAACAAUUCAGAUUACCUGGACAAUCGGGCAUUGUGAAAAGCACCUUGAGAUUCUUCGGGACGUACUCGUCGCCCAAGCAAACUGCGUCACGAGAUUUAGCAGCAAGCAUCCCCUUCGUUGGAUCCGUAGGUCCACUGACGUCGAUCAUCCGGUAAUAGGAUCAGGAAAGGGACUCGAACACUAGGGCGUACGAAGGACGUGCUGAAGUGCCGAAUAGACCUGUUGGAACAACCCGACCAGCGAAACAAGAGAGCCUUACAAGUAGGUUGCAUAUACAGGACGGGAUUGCAUAUAGAAACUAAUAUGCGUUGUCCAACAGGGCUCUUUUUUUUCUACAGCUUCUAUUGGCCUUCAGACUCAUUCGGCGGAGGACUCUGGACCGCGACCAAUCCAUCAGCAAGGUACGGGCUGUCACACGAUCGAGGCUCAUCGACAGCGUAGAUCCCAAACAGGGCCGGGAUUCGGCACGGAGAGGCGGGUGAUCGUGGAUGCCGGGGAUUACGGUGGUAGAUGGGCCACUGGCCGAAGCGGACGCGCUCGCCCACAAGCAGC